CUAGGCUGUUGGGCUUAAAAUAAAACCGAACCAUGGGAUCCAGCCUUCCUUAUCAGUGACCCGGUGCACAGACUUGUGCACAUUGAAAGGAAAUUAAUUAGAAGGUGGACGGCGGGGUGGAACUGGGCAAGAGGGGCCAGACACACCCUGAAACCAACUUCCCCGGUCUCAACCCAGUGUCUUCUGAGUGAGCAGGGUCUCUCCAGCAGGGUAUGGAACGCAAACCCAAGAGUUCAGUAAACCGGAAUUAGGGCGACAGUGCCCCAGCAACAACAUAACCCACGGCCGAAGGUGGAAUUGUGCAGCUGGCGAAGAAUCAGGUUCCCUCCUCUCUGUUUUCGAGGGCUCGGGAAUGGAUAACAGGACUUCUGAGUCAUCACUGGAAUAAACUCAUUAAAGCCUCUUCAUAACGCCAUAUCUGUAACUGAAGGUGGGCGAGAAUGGCAAAGGAAGAAAACAGGGCUCCAAGGAAGUAGAGGAUGGCGCCCAUAACCUCCUUGGAUAUGAGGACAUCUUUUGGGAGUGCCUCCAGCGUCACCUCAUGUCCUUUGUCUAGAGCCCCUUCAAGCUGUGAAGGAAGGGACCUGGCAUCCUAGGAGAAUGUCCAACCUGCUUUGGAGAGAUUGGCUUCCUGGCAGUGGCGCCAAUCCCCACGACCUGGGACUCAG
This is a long non-coding RNA of Eptesicus fuscus (big brown bat), 668 nucleotides long. RefSeq lists it as uncharacterized. The transcript has 6 exons. The record is from RefSeq and is a predicted model, not a curated record. NCBI's taxonomy places the organism in Eukaryota, Metazoa, Chordata, Mammalia, Chiroptera, Vespertilionidae.